Molecule: signal recognition particle RNA, 97 nt
Filed under: Enterobacteriaceae endosymbiont of Donacia clavipes
Lineage: Bacteria; Pseudomonadati; Pseudomonadota; Gammaproteobacteria; Enterobacterales; Enterobacteriaceae
Description: signal recognition particle sRNA small type
Rfam family: Bacterial small signal recognition particle RNA
About the family: The signal recognition particle (SRP) is a universally conserved ribonucleoprotein involved in the co-translational targeting of proteins to membranes. Archaeal SRP consists of a 7S RNA and homologues of the eukaryotic SRP19 and SRP54 proteins. In most bacteria, the SRP consists of a 4.5S RNA and the Ffh protein (a homologue of the eukaryotic SRP54 protein).
Source: RNAcentral
GUAUGAUUAUUUGAGCAAUAUUAUUUUGUAAACCCAGUCAGGUCUGGAAAGAAGCAGCUGUAGCAAAUUUAAUAUGUGUAAAAAAUAAUCAUGCUCU